GCGCGCAAGGCCACAGGUGCGCGAGGAGGAGGAGGAGGAGGAGGUAGAGGAAGCGAGGCCUGCGCCAGAGGAACUUCCCCCACCUGCUGUCGAGGAGCAAGAGGAGGGUGUGCCCGAGGGAUUGGAGGCACCACCAGAGCCACCGGCCGAGCAGCCCCAAGAUGCUGGGAUGGGCAGAGACCUGGCCAUUCGGGAGGCAGCUCUGGGGGAAGACCCUGGCGGCAGGCGUGGGCCACAACAGAGCCGGCUGCGCCGACCUGUGGUGGAGGCACCACCAGAGCCACCGGCCGAGCAGCCCCAAGAUGCUGGGAUGGGCAGAGACCUGGCCAUUCGGGAGGCAGCUCUGGGGGAAGACCCUGGCGGCAGGCGUGGGCCACAACAGAGCCGG
Molecule: long non-coding RNA, 388 nt
Organism: Eublepharis macularius
Lineage: Eukaryota; Metazoa; Chordata; Lepidosauria; Squamata; Eublepharidae
Exons: 3
Source: RefSeq, a predicted model, not a curated record